This 4126-nucleotide long non-coding RNA is filed under the name Homo sapiens (human). Its description in RNAcentral is "non-protein coding lnc-GPR27-10:11". The record is from RNAcentral. Lineage: Eukaryota; Metazoa; Chordata; Mammalia; Primates; Hominidae.
AGAGCCCCGCGGACCAGAGAGAGGAAGGGAACGCCAGAGCAGUCCCUGGCAACAGAGGGAUCUGGCAGGAAAGACCUGGAAAAUAAGGGGCAGGGGGGCGGAGGGGGAGAUUCCUCAGGAGAUGGGAAAUGGGGGGCCCAUUCAGACAGCGGAAAAAACGAGAAGGGAGAGUGUUAACUAGGGACGAAGAUGGGAAUGCGAUGGCUAUUUGCUUGGAUUCUGAGCUAAAAAUAUGAAAGGGAGGGGAGAGGACAGGCUAGAAUGUGAGUUUCCUCCAGUUAAAAGUGAAAGUGUUUUGCCAUCAGUGACAGUUGAAGGAGAGCGGGGUGGGAGGUGGUGUUUUCAACCCCCUUUCUCCCUCUCUCCCGUCCUCCCUCGGUCUCUCCUCUUUCUUUCUGCACUUUGUCCAAUGAAAGAAGGCGAGUUCGGGAGGUGAAAGUUCAGCAGAAGGACAAACCCCUGUUUGCAAGGAAACAGAAACCCCGCCAGCCAGCGAGGGGUUUUCUCCCCUGUUUCUCGGAAUCAGGAGAGUGUGAAUGUGGGACGAGCUUCUGCCCCCUUGUCAGAGCCACUGCAGGAAUGUGCAAUCGAGUCCACUUUGGGGGAAGGUGGCUGCAUCAGGAACUGUGUUCUUGCCACGACUCCUCUUAGGAAAACGCCUGGGGGCUAGCAUGUCAGUCCGUUGUUUAACACAAAUUACCUGCUCUCCCAGUGAUCAGUCACGUGCAAAAAGCUUUGUCCAAUUCUUUGAAAAGAUUAAGCAGUGUGUUUAUUAAAAAUUAUUAUCAUCGCAAUACUAAAAAGAUCUUUAGAUUGCUGCUAAUCUGAUUCUGCAUUUUAACUGCCUUAAAUUCUACAUUCACUUGCAAGUGGGGGCCACAGUCAGGUUGGCAACAAGUUUUGCAGACAAAAGGAAAUCCUGGUUGUAAAUCCCAUGAUAUAUUGUACUCAAUUUUGUAUGAUACUGUCUAAUGUGCUGUGCUGCCUUAUUAAAGAACUCGAUGUCCAUUUGGUUUACAUUAGAGGGAAACUUAACUGCAGCUUAACAUAUUGUUCAUUUUCAACACUGUCACGUUACAUUCGUGGGGGGCAGAUUUUAAUUUCUUUAUCAGUAAUCAACUGGAAGUUUCUUUUUGUUAAAUUAAAGCAAGAAAGGUUUUAAAAUAAAGGGCAUGGGGGUAGGACGCCACCUUUUGGUGAUAAAACAAAUAGAAAUCCCUUCUGAAAACAGAUGUUCCUGACAUAAUUUUAUUUUUAAUUACACCAAGGCAAAGGUGCUUGUCCCCAUUUCGUUAUAUUUUAAGUAACAGGAGAAAAAAAAAACCAAUGUAAAUGCAAAAUUAGCAAAUUAUAGUUAACUGCAGCCAAAAUUUUCCCAAACGUAUCAGAAUAUGUUAGUCCCCUGUCACAUUACUGUUGAUUGUAUACACCAAACAUGAGCUUCAUUCACCAAAUACCAUGUCACUAAAUAUAUGUACAUUUGGGGAACAGAAACUGGAGUGGACAUUUACCACCUGACGACGUACCUGAAUGCUCUUGUAAGUUUUGAGUUGAACAAAAACUAAAACCACUUAAUUUAGUGUUUCUUUAACCACAGUUACUGGUGUCCUGAUUUUUGCCAUAUCUAUAUGACAUAACAGUUCCCGAAUAAUUAAUAUACCAUACUCAUUGGAGGCCACUUAUUAUGGUAAUUGUAGCAAACAUUUUCAUUUAAAUCAACCUUCUUUUAAUUUUUUUCUAUUACUGCCUUAAAUGGGAAAUCAGUAUCACCCACCAUAAAUUAAAAACAAGCACAGUAAAAACAAAGUCACUGAUUUCUCUUUGAGGGUCAAAACAAAAAUUAAAAAUGAUUUUUGAAAAAAGGAGGGAGAGUGGCAAAUGUUGAGAAGGGUUAAGGACAAGAGUAUCAAUGGAAAUUUUUGAAUUUUUGUUUUUUCUCUCUCUUUUUUUCUGUUUUUUUUUUUUUUUUUUUUUUAACAACCAGAAGGAUUUAAAGUGAUCGGAAAGGAAUACAGUUCUCAAUGUGUGAUUCAGUGUUAUGCCAUCCUAGUGCCAAGGUUCCUACACUUUAAAAAACAUGGGCAUAACUAAGAAUAUCGCAUUACAGAUGAGGAAUCUAAGGCCCAGGGAUUUCAUUUGCCCUCCAAGGCAAAAUAAAUUUGGUUACUGGUUGGACAAGGAUUAGAAUCCAGGUGUCCUGACUUUGUGGGUUUCCAUCUCACUCUUUCCACUAAAGUGACCAAUCCUCAGACUUAAGUGGUUUGUCUAGCUUCUCAGAAACAGCUAACCUACAGACCCCUUUACAGAUCUGGGAGAAACUGAGGCCACAGAGGGUCAAGAACAAGUUCAACCCCCUGCUCACCGUCCUUUCUCUCCACCCUCUCUCCAUAGAUGUGACAGACAUCCAGGUGGGGGUCAACACAGCAAAGAAAGAAGGGAGGGUUGAGAAGAGAAAAGUGGAUUCAGAGAGGGGAGGUUAGUAAGCGUGGGCAGACCAUUCUCUAAAUGAAAGCUUAAACUCAGUUGCCUUCCAAGAAGAUAAAAAUGGCUAAUGAAAAUCAUGUGCUUCACAGUAAGUGGUAAGAGGAGCCCAUCCUCUGUGUCCUCAUGUCCCUAUAUGUCCACACCGGAAAUCAGCAGGGGAUCUCUUGUUUUAAAGUAUACAAUAUUAACAGGCACACUCUGAGACAAAACCACAUUUGAUAAUUUGAGUGGGUGGAAAAGCUAGUCAGGGAACGGGGAAUGACCCUAGCUUAAAAAGUGUUUUCCCCCACAACAAAACUUAAGAGGCUCAGAGUUAAAUCUAGAAACAAUAGUGCUUUUUCUGUUUUUCUAACUGGAGAGUGAGACCUUAGUUACCAAGACUGCACUUGCUGCUUUUUUUUAAAGUAUGCAGUUAUAUAAACAUAAAUAAAUAUGGCCUGCAAAUAUUUUUAUGUUUUUCUAAAUUGGUGAUUGUGAAAAGAGGUUGUGCAUGACUGUACUGUAUGAACAUGGGUCUCAGUGGACUGUAAUCCUCAUAAACUACAAGGUACGGUGAAGCAUUUGGCCAAGUAUCAUCAAUCCAAAAAGCUGUUCUAAUGCCCUGAGCAUUCCCAGUGCAACGUUGGUACCUUGGAAACAUGUAAAAGGAGUAUGGGUGGCUCAACCCCAUCUGCUACAGGUACUAGAACAAUCUACAGCCUUACUAUGCAAAAUGAGAUGUGCUGACCUGCAGAGCACCACCUCCAGGUUAUGUCAAAAAUGCAGAAUGUCAGGCCCUACCUCAGACCUAGUGAAUCAAAUAUCUGUAUUUUAAAAAAAUCACCCAGCCAAGUCUCACACACAUUCAAGUUGGACAAAGGUGAUCUAUAGUACAUGUGGCCCCUUAUACAACAGGCUGCAUCUCAAUAUCUUGAUAGCCUUAAACUAUUUCACAGGUAGUCCUGUAAGUCUGCCAUACAUGAUUCUCCAAACUGGCAUCUUUUAUAAACUUUGUUGGUUCCUUAUUUUUCAACCAUUUGCAAAGUUAAGUCACUCAAUCACCUAUGCAAACCAUAAUUAAUUCCUUUGACAUUAAUAGUCCGGUGACUUCUCUCUCCUGUUACCCCAAAGAGACUGCUAAUUGCCCUCCAAUUGUUUACCUUUGUAUUGUUUUAUGAGAGCUCAGAGAAAGAUGGAAGAUACUCUCCACCAGGCCAGAAACAAAUGCCAGACAGGUUUUGAAAAGGCUGAACACAUGCUAUGACUACACCUUGUUAGUAGAAGGGCUUUGCUUUCUUUGUUUUGUUUUCUUUUUUUAUGGAAGGGAUGACGCCUCCAUAAUUAUAGGUGCUGCUGUUUAAAACCCAGAGUGUUUUCCAAACCACUGAGGGGCCACACCUCCAGCAGCCCAUGAGCCAUCCUGGCUGGAUUAUCUUUCCAGUUCUCUAAACAGUUCAUCAAGCAGUACUAGAUUUACAUUAAGCAUAACGAGAGUAAGGGACCCCAUCCAAGUAUGGUUUCUUUCUGAAUAAACAUGAAGGACUCACAGGUAAACCUCACAGCUGAAGGUUAAUUUGUAUCUGUGAAGUUCUCAGAAAGACUGUAGUAAAGGCCCCUCACCCACCUAACAAGACAGCAGGUUACUUUUGUAACACCCCCCCAA